CUUCCACUCCCUCCUUCCCAGCCCUUUUUCUUCCUACCAGUGUUUAGGGGUUAUAUGUGUAAUGGCCCGAAAUGUACUACAAUUGUAAUGGUAUUUUUCCCCAUGUAAAUAGAGUUAACCUGGGGUGUUUGCGCAACCAGUUAUAUAUGUAUGUGGGUUUCUCAUGAGAGAGAGAGAGAGAGAGAGAAAGGAAAGAAGGAAGUACACAAGAGAAGGAGAAAAAAAUGAAAAGUACGAGAGGAGAGAGAGAGAAAGAAGUUUGAGAGAGAGAGCGAGAGGGAAGAGAUGGGGGUUGAAACAAAGAGGCCUGGUGCUCCCAAAUCUCCCCUACAAUCUGUAGUGUCAACAAAAUUCAGAGGUGUCAGGGGUCAAAACAGGGUAUCGUUGCCAAAAGCGGUCAAUCUGCCUUCUUUUAAUUAUUGCGGGAGAACGGUAAAUAUGUAUAAUGGAAAUAAAAUACCAGUGACCUUAUAUUGAUAUUGGAGGCCUACCAAGGAAAUCUCAGGUCUCAAGCAGGCCUAACCUGCGGUCAGUUUGUCACUCCGAGACGUCACACCAAGACAUUUUGGGGCCGAGACUAACGCCCCUUCCUCGCACUAGGUUGUGGGAGCGAGCUCAUUCUCACGAGCGACAUCGCCCCUUUCAGGUGCGCCAAAGGCAAGCCUGACAGAUGGGAAGCUGAGCGUCGCCCAGACCAAGGCCAACAUGCAGCAGUAAACACUUUUGAAGCUGGGUUGUGGGGGAUUGCCGGUGGCAGGGUGUGUGAAGAGAGGAAGGAAAGGAGAAGGCCAAAAGGGUGUUUCAGUGAUGGAAUCUUUGGGCCGCACCUCGGAUUCCUUGACAGCCGGGACCUGCAGCGUUGACAUAGAGGGCUGGCUAUCAGACUGACACGAGGGUUCCGGUGAACUCUGACUUGUUACGACCUGAGGCAUCAUGCAUGGGGCCGUCCAUGCACUCCUCUUCAAAGUCAUGCAGCCGCUCUAGAGACUCCCCAUCGAGGAACAACUUAAGGCCAUUGUCAUAGAGAAGCGGCUUGCCCUUCCACCUCCUGAAGAUGUACUUGAUGACUCGGUGGACGUGUGACAAGAUGAUGAGGGGCGGGGGGAAGACGGGCUUGCCUUCAAACUCCAUCACAACCUUUACGGACAAGGAAAUGAAGUUGAGUACUGUUUGGAAUGGCAUGAACAAACUGCCAAACACAUCCUGUGCCCAGACAGAGCUGCCCAGGGAAGCCACUCAGGGCGCUGCCACGAGGGGCCCACCUGGUAGAAGAUGUGACGUGCGAGGCGCCAGUGAGGCUCCUCGUUGGGGUACAGGAUGCUCUGCCGACACACCCCGAAGGCCAUCAGCACCACCAGCAGCAGCACCACAAACCCCCCCAGCCAGAGGUCAGCCAGGAGGAUCUGGCAGCAGGUGUGUGACAGCAGAGCGCGGUGGUUGUCAGCAACGGCCAGAGACAGACACGUUUGCUUAGACCAAUUCCUUAAUUCGUAAGUCAAGAGCUGCUGCGCCCGGUCAUCA
This is a long non-coding RNA of Eriocheir sinensis (Chinese mitten crab), 1521 nucleotides long. RefSeq lists it as uncharacterized. NCBI's taxonomy places the organism in Eukaryota, Metazoa, Arthropoda, Malacostraca, Decapoda, Varunidae. The transcript is spliced from 6 exons. The record is from RefSeq and is a predicted model, not a curated record.